RNAcentral lists this unclassified non-coding RNA (434 nucleotides) under Hevea brasiliensis (rubber tree). The record is from RNAcentral. Lineage: Eukaryota; Viridiplantae; Streptophyta; Magnoliopsida; Malpighiales; Euphorbiaceae.
GGGUUCACAGUUAACCUCUUUGGGUUUUUGGGACCAUAAAAUCCUUCCAGGCCCACAGUCAGCAGAUGGUUCUUGUCGAUAGAUUUCACAAAAGCUGACAUUUCUUCGAUCCAGUCUUGGAGAGUGUCACCUGAAGGAUCAGACAUGCAACGAGGUUCAUUCAUCAACUCCCAUCCAAAGAUGCUGGGAUCGUUCCUAUAUUCAAUCCCCGUGAUGGUGUUUUUUCUAGUCAACAAAGUCUUAACAUAGUUCUUGAAAUAUCUUUUGAUGGUUGGGUCAAAGAAGAAAGAAUCAUUUGAAGAGCUCAAACCAAUGCCUUCUUCCCACGCCCACUUCACAUACUGUGUUUUCCCACCAUAUGCCCUUAAGUUAUUGACUAAACUAAAAAGCAGUCUGAUUCCAUGCUGUCUUGCUUCUGCAAUGACAUAAUCCAA